RNAcentral lists this transfer RNA (62 nucleotides) under Trimerodytes annularis (Red-bellied annulate keelback). Its description in RNAcentral is "tRNA-Cys". The record is from RNAcentral. Lineage: Eukaryota; Metazoa; Chordata; Lepidosauria; Squamata; Natricidae.
AGCCACGAGGUGUAUAGUACAUGUCAGACUGCAAAUCUGAAGUAGGCAGCUGCCCGGGGUUU